RNAcentral lists this ribosomal RNA (491 nucleotides) under uncultured bacterium. RNAcentral describes it as "partial 16S ribosomal RNA". It matches the Rfam family "Bacterial small subunit ribosomal RNA", at positions 29 to 506 of the family's 1533-position model. The record is from RNAcentral.
AGUGAACGCUGGCGGUAGGCCUAACACAUGCAAGUCGAACGGCAGCACAGUAAGAGCUUGCUCUUACGGGUGGCGAGUGGCGGACGGGUGAGGAAUACAUCGGAAUCUACUUUUUCGUGGGGGAUAACGUAGGGAAACUUACGCUAAUACCGCAUACGACCUACGGGUGAAAGCAGGGGAUCUUCGGACCUUGCGCGAUUGAAUGAGCCGAUGUCGGAUUAGCUAGUUGGCGGGGUAAAGGCCCACCAAGGCGACGAUCCGUAGCUGGUCUGAGAGGAUGAUCAGCCACACUGGAACUGAGACACGGUCCAGACUCCUACGGGAGGCAGCAGUGGGGAAUAUUGGACAAUGGGCGCAAGCCUGAUCCAGCCAUACCGCGUGGGUGAAGAAGGCCUUCGGGUUGUAAAGCCCUUUUGUUGGGAAAGAAAAGCAGCAGGUUAAUACCCCGCUGUUCUGACGGUACCCAAAGAAUAAACACCGGCUAAUUUCGU